Molecule: unclassified non-coding RNA, 346 nt
Filed under: soil metagenome
Description: partial contains 5.8S ribosomal RNA, internal transcribed spacer 2, and large subunit ribosomal RNA
Rfam family: 5.8S ribosomal RNA (bases 1-120)
Source: RNAcentral
GAUGAAGAACGCAGCGAAAUGCGAUAAGUAAUGUGAAUUGCAGAAUUCAGUGAAUCAUCGAAUCUUUGAACGCACAUUGCGCCCUCUGGUAUUCCGGGGGGCAUGCCUGUCCGAGCGUCAUUGCUGCCCUCAAGCACGGCUUGUGUGUUGGGCCCCGUCCUCCGAUCCCGGGGGACGGGCCCGAAAGGCAGCGGCGGCACCGCGUCCGGUCCUCGAGCGUAUGGGGCUUUGUCACCCGCUCUGUAGGCCCGGCCGGCGCUUGCCGAUCAACCCAAAUUUUUAUCCAGGUUGACCUCGGAUCAGGUAGGGAUACCCGCUGAACUUAAGCAUAUCAAUAAGCGGAGGA